GGGCGUUUGGCACAGUGGUAGCGCGCCUGCUUUGCAUUGAUGCAAGUUGCAUGAGGUCGAGGGUUCAAUCCCCUCAACGUCCA
Transfer RNA from Dichomitus squalens LYAD-421 SS1, 83 nucleotides. It matches the Rfam family "tRNA". From Rfam's summary of the family: Transfer RNA (tRNA) molecules are approximately 80 nucleotides in length. Their secondary structure includes four short double-helical elements and three loops (D, anti-codon, and T loops). NCBI's taxonomy places the organism in Eukaryota, Fungi, Basidiomycota, Agaricomycetes, Polyporales, Polyporaceae. The record is from Rfam.